Long non-coding RNA from Trachemys scripta elegans, 148 nucleotides. RefSeq lists it as uncharacterized. The record is from RefSeq and is a predicted model, not a curated record. The transcript has 2 exons. NCBI's taxonomy places the organism in Eukaryota, Metazoa, Chordata, Testudines, Emydidae.
AGCUAAUAUGGAGUCCCACAGUCUGCAGUACAUGCUGUGUCUUCCUCUGGUUCUAGAGAGAUCACUGUCCUAAGGUUGAAGCUGCCCUUUGGAUGACCUAUGCUUCACAGAGAAGAUCCUCCUUGGCUCAUCAAACGUGCUUGGAAGG